AUGGGCACGGCCACACGCGGUCCCCACGGCGCUGCCAGCGAGGAGGGGACACCCCACAAAGGGUGCUGCUGGGGGGGGGCUCUGGGGGGGGGCAAAUCCAUCGGAGGCUGCCCCGAGCACAUCCCAGCGGCUCCCAGCUGCCCGGCGAGGGGCUGCACCGGCACCAAAUGGCUUCCAGGGCGCCGGACCGAGCCGGCAGCUGAGCAUUCCCGGUGCCUUCGCAGCUGCCCAGGGAGGGGCUGGGGAGGGGACAGGGGGCUGGGGGGGCACCGGGCACCCUCCUGCUGGGUGGGUGUCACCCCGUGCCCUGUGCCGCUCGGUGCCGCCAGGAAUGCCUUUGCCCAUGCAGCUGCUCCGGCUCGGCACGCGCCGGCUGCUGGCACCAACUGCAGCCCCCGGGGCCCCUCCCCAGCCAAGGCACCGAAGGGACCGAAGGGAGCAGCGCCGUGGAAAGCCCCCCGAGGGGCUGAGCCAGGCUGGCAGCAGCCGUUAGACCUGGGGGUGUCCCCAUGGAGCGUGGCGGACCCCCACAAUGUGCCAAGCAGGAGCUGUGCUCCAAGGAUGGGGCACAAGCCCCGGGUGGGCUGCACGGCCCUGGGGGGGGGGAUGCUCCCAGUGCAGGAUGGGGGCAGCGUGCUGGGGGUACUGGGGGUACUGGGGGUGCUGACCACGGCCGUCUGUGUCCCGAUCCUAAAAGCCAUGGCCCCAGAGCACCCCAAUCAGGGGCGUCUGGGUGCAAUGGGGACGAGGGGCGCAGGAGAGGAGCCUCACCCGAGACCACUCCUGGGGAGAGGUUUUGGGCAGGGACCAACUGCUGUGGCGAGCGGCCACGGGAGAACCGGUGCCCACUGCCCCAAAACCCCCCUGGUGGACUGGGUGUGUGUGUAUGGGGACACACUGGGCGGACUGGGGCCGGGCAGGGCGGUGCUGGGCAGCCCCCCAGGCGGGGUGGGAACUGCUGCAUUGCACCCCGGUGAUCAAAGAGGUGGUGAUGGACGGAUCUGGAGCAGGCAGGCAGCGAGGGGAGGCUGCGAGCCCCCCCACCUCCCCGCAGCAUCCCCCCCGUGCCGUGCCGUGGGGCCGUGCCGAGCCCCCAAAGCGCGUGGGGCGCAGGAGGGGGCAGCGGCACAGCCCCCAGCCCAGCAUUUUAGGGUGGCCGUGCUCCUGCUGGGUCCCCCCAUGGCCGUGCCCUGUCCGUGUCCGGCGCAGCCCCUCCAGGGGCUGGGAAGGGUCUGGGGGCAGAGGGGGAGCAGGGAUGGGGUUGGGGGCUGUGAGCGUGGCACGGCCUCGGCCACGUGCACCGCGUGCCGGCAGCGCCCCGGGCACCGUGCACAAACCGGGACGGACCCCAGCAGCAGGGGCUCUGGCACAGCUUCACCCAUCGGGGGGUCGGGGGGAUGCUCGGGGGGGUGA
RNAcentral lists this long non-coding RNA (1413 nucleotides) under Anas platyrhynchos platyrhynchos (common mallard). RNAcentral describes it as "lncRNA (ENSAPLG00000018169.1)". The record is from RNAcentral. Lineage: Eukaryota; Metazoa; Chordata; Aves; Anseriformes; Anatidae.